Molecule: long non-coding RNA, 333 nt
Filed under: Lathyrus oleraceus (garden pea)
Lineage: Eukaryota; Viridiplantae; Streptophyta; Magnoliopsida; Fabales; Fabaceae
Description: Pisum sativum (pea) long non-coding RNA (PSAT_LNC004127)
Source: RNAcentral
UUAUUGUGAGUCUUUGCCGAGAGCUUCUGAAUGAGGUUCUGUUAUGAAAUUCGAUUGGGCAUUCAGUUCAGGUAGAGGUUGAUCGAAUUGAGUUUCUUGAAGGUAAAUAGCGCAAAGAAAAAUGGUGAAUCCUUCCCUCGUUAUGCUGCUUCAGGUCUUGAGUUAGGGAGUUUAGAUGGUUGGUGCGGAGUUAUUGCAGUUCGUGAUGGUGUCUGUUAGGAGUGAGGUUGAAGAAAAUGACGAAUGGUUGUGAUUGAGAUGGAGUGGAGAAAAUGUGAGGAAAGGAGAGAGGUUGAAGAAUUUGUGAAUUUUGAAUUAUGGGAAAGAUGAUAG